CCUUAAUGUAUGUCCUAUCCAACGUUUAAUUCGACUCAACACGGGAAAACUCACUCGGUCCGGACUGACAGAUUGAUAGCUCUUUCUUGAUUCGGUGGGUGGUGGUGCAUGACCGUUCUUAGUUGGUGGGGCGAUUUGUCUGGUUAAUCCCGAUAACAAACGAGACUUUAACCUGCUAAAUAGUAGACUGGUCAUCUGUGUUCGUUUAGAGCGCGGCUUCUAUUGCUUCUUUAUGGAGUAGUGUGGUCGUGAUCCGGCGGGUGCGGUGCCAGUUUUUACUUCUUAGAGGGACAAGCGGCACACUUAAGUCGCACGAAAUUGAGCAAUAACAGGUCUGUGAUGCCCUUAAAUGUCCGGAGUCACACGUGCGCUACAAUGACGGUGCCAGCGAGUCUGGAAACCUGACCCGAAAGGGUUGGGCAAACUGUUUCAUCACCAUCGAGACUGGGAUCGGGGCUUGCAAUUAUUCCCCGUGAACAAGGAAUUCCUGGUAAGUGCAAGUCAUAAGCUUGUGCUGAUUACGUCCC
This 527-nucleotide non-coding RNA is filed under the name Schistosoma mansoni. Its description in RNAcentral is "Eukaryotic small subunit ribosomal RNA". It matches the Rfam family "Eukaryotic small subunit ribosomal RNA", at positions 1167 to 1653 of the family's 1831-position model. The record is from Rfam by way of RNAcentral. Lineage: Eukaryota; Metazoa; Platyhelminthes; Trematoda; Strigeidida; Schistosomatidae.